This 754-nucleotide ribosomal RNA is filed under the name uncultured Salinivibrio sp. RNAcentral describes it as "bacterial SSU rRNA". It matches the Rfam family "Bacterial small subunit ribosomal RNA", at positions 569 to 1323 of the family's 1533-position model. Lineage: Bacteria; Pseudomonadati; Pseudomonadota; Gammaproteobacteria; Vibrionales; Vibrionaceae. The record is from RNAcentral.
AUGCAGGCGGUUUGUUAAGUCAGAUGUGAAAGCCCGGGGCUCAACCUCGGAACCGCAUUUGAAACUGGCAGGCUAGAGUCUUGUAGAGGGGGGUAGAAUUUCAGGUGUAGCGGUGAAAUGCGUAGAGAUCUGAAGGAAUACCAGUGGCGAAGGCGACCCCCUGGACAAAGACUGACGCUCAGAUGCGAAAGCGUGGGUAGCAAACAGGAUUAGAUACCCUGGUAGUCCACGCCGUAAACGCUGUCUACUUGGAGGUUGAGGUUUAGACUUUGGCUUUCGGCGCUAACGCAUUAAGUAGACCGCCUGGGGAGUACGGCCGCAAGGUUAAAACUCAAAUGAAUUGACGGGGGCCCGCACAAGCGGUGGAGCAUGUGGUUUAAUUCGAUGCAACGCGAAGAACCUUACCUACUCUUGACAUCCAGCGAAGCCUUUAGAGAUAGAGGUGUGCCUUCGGGAGCGCUGAGACAGGUGCUGCAUGGCUGUCGUCAGCUCGUGUUGUGAAAUGUUGGGUUAAGUCCCGCAACGAGCGCAACCCUUAUCCUUGUUUGCCAGCGAGUAAUGUCGGGAACUCCAGGGAGACUGCCGGUGAUAAACCGGAGGAAGGUGGGGACGACGUCAAGUCAUCAUGGCCCUUACGAGUAGGGCUACACACGUGCUACAAUGGCAGAUACAGAGGGCAGCGACGCUGCGAAGUAGAGCGAAUCCCUUAAAGUCUGUCGUAGUCCGGAUUGGAGUCUGCAACUCGACUCCAUGA